This 253-nucleotide ribosomal RNA is filed under the name uncultured bacterium. RNAcentral's name for it is "partial 16S ribosomal RNA". It matches the Rfam family "Bacterial small subunit ribosomal RNA", at positions 524 to 776 of the family's 1533-position model. The record is from RNAcentral.
UACGAAGGGGGCUAGCGUUGCUCGGAAUUACUGGGCGUAAAGCGCACGUAGGCGGCUUUCUAAGUCGGGGGUGAAAUCCUGGAGCUCAACUCCAGAACUGCCUUCGAUACUGGAGAGCUCGAGUCCGGGAGAGGUGAGUGGAACUGCGAGUGUAGAGGUGAAAUUCGUAGAUAUUCGCGAGAACACCAGUGGCGAAGGCGGCUCACUGGCCCGGUACUGACGCUGAGGUGCGAAAGCGUGGGGAGCAAACAGG